AAGACCUUGCACUUUUGGAGCGGCCGAUGUCUGAUUAGCUAGUUGGUGGGGUAAUGGCCUACCAAAGCUUCGAUCAGUAGCUGGUCUGAGAGGACGGCCAGCCACACUGGGACUGAGACACGGCCCAGACUCCUACGGGAGGCAGCAGUGGGGAAUUUUGGACAAUGGGCGCAAGCCUGAUCCAGCCAUGCCGCGUGAGUGAAGAAGGCCUUCGGGUUGUAAAGCUCUUUCAGCCGGGGAGAAAAGGCUGCGACUAAUAAUCGCAGUUCAUGACGGUACCGGAAGAAGAAGCACCGGCUAACUACGUGCCAGCAGCCGCGGUAAUACGUAGGGUGCGAGCGUUAAUCGGAAUUACUGGGCGUAAAGGGUGCGCAGGCGGUUUUGUAAGUCAGAUGUGAAAUCCCCGGGCUUAACCUGGGAACU
Molecule: ribosomal RNA, 423 nt
Filed under: uncultured bacterium
Lineage: Bacteria
Description: bacterial SSU rRNA
Rfam family: Bacterial small subunit ribosomal RNA
Source: RNAcentral